AAUAAAUUUUUAUAGUUUAUAAAUUUUAUUUUAAAUUUAUUUUAUAUAUAAAUUUUAGUAUAAAUUAUAUUAUUUAAAGAAUUUUAUUUAAUGUAGUAAAUAAUAUUAAAAAUUUAAGAAAUUAAGAUUUAGUAAUAUUAGAAUUAAUAACAAAUUUUGUGCCAGCAGUUGCGGUUAUACAAAAAUUAAAAUGAAAUUUAUUAGAUAAUUAAUUAUUAUAAUUGUUUAAUUAAUAAGAUAUUAAAUUAUUAAGUGAAAUUUUAAUUUAGUUAAAAUUAUGUUUAGUUUUAAGAUUUAAUAAAUUUUAAAAUUAAACUAGGAUUAGAUACCCUAUUAUAAAAAAUUUAAAUUAAAAUGCUAAAAUAUUAGAUAUUAUUUAUUGAAACUUAAAUAAUUUGGCGGUAUCUUAGUUUAUUUAGGGGAAUCUGUUUAUUAAUUGAUAAUACACGAAAAAAUUUACUUAAUUUUGAAUUUUGUAUAUCGUUGUUAGAAAAAUAUUUAUAAAUAAAAAUAAUAUUUAAAAAUAAUGAUUAAAAUUUAAAUCAGAUCAAGAUGCAGAUUAUAGUUAAGAAUAUAAUGGAUUACAAUAAAGUUAUUUAAAUGAAUAUUAAUAUGUAAAAUUAAUUGAAGGUGGAUUUAAAUGUAAUUUUAUUUAGUUUAAUAAAAUGAUUAAAAAUUAAGAUAUGUACAUAUUGCCCGUCGCUUUCAUUUAUAAAUUGGAAUAAGUCGUAACAAAGUAGAGGUACUGGAAAGUGUUUCUAGAAAUAC
RNAcentral lists this non-coding RNA (768 nucleotides) under Scirpophaga incertulas. The record is from RNAcentral. Lineage: Eukaryota; Metazoa; Arthropoda; Insecta; Lepidoptera; Crambidae.